UUCCCUUCGGGGCUUUCUGCAAGGUGCUGCAUGGUUGUCGUCAGCUCGUGCCGUGAGGUGUCGGGUUAAGUCCCAUAACGAGCGCAACCCUUAUCGUUAGUUGCCAUCUGGUAAUGCAGGGGACUCUAGCGAAACUGCCACCGUAAGGUGAGAGGAAGGUGGGGGAUGACGUCAAAUCAGCACGGCCCUUAUGUCCAGGGCUACACACGUGUUACAAUGGUCGGUACAGAGGGCAGCUACCUGGUGACAGGAUGCUAAUCUCGAAAACCGGUCUCAGUUCGGAUCGAAGUCUGCAACUCGACUUCAUGAAGGCGGAAUCGCUAGUAACCGCGAAUCAGCAGGUCGCGGUGAAUACGUUCCCGGGCCUU
RNAcentral lists this ribosomal RNA (368 nucleotides) under uncultured Sphingobacteriales bacterium. Its description in RNAcentral is "bacterial SSU rRNA". It matches the Rfam family "Bacterial small subunit ribosomal RNA", at positions 1014 to 1382 of the family's 1533-position model. The record is from RNAcentral. Lineage: Bacteria; Pseudomonadati; Bacteroidota; Sphingobacteriia; Sphingobacteriales.